Molecule: ribosomal RNA, 442 nt
Filed under: uncultured soil bacterium
Lineage: Bacteria
Description: bacterial SSU rRNA
Rfam family: Bacterial small subunit ribosomal RNA
Source: RNAcentral
AGGAUGAACGCUGGCGGCGUGCUUAACACAUGCAAGUCGAACGAUGAAGGCUGGAGCUUGCUCUGGCUGGAUUAGUGGCGAACGGGUGAGUAACACGUGGGUAACCUGCCCCAGACUCUGGGAUAAGCGCUGGAAACGGCGUCUAAUACCGGAUACGAGCUUCCACCGCAUGGUGAGGAGCUGGAAAGAAUUUCGGUCUGGGAUGGACUCGCGGCCUAUCAGCUUGUUGGUGAGGUAAUGGCUCGACCAAGGCGACGACGGGUAGCCGGCUGAGAGGGUGACCCGGCACGACUGGGACUGAGACACGGCCCAGACUCCUACGGGAGGCAACGAGUGGGGAAUAGUUAGCACGAAAUGGGCCGCAAAGGCCUGAACUGCAGCAACGCGCCGUGACGGACGAAGCCGUUCGGUUAGUAACUACGUUUUAAGUAGGAAGAAGACG